Ornithodoros turicata is the source of this 218-nucleotide long non-coding RNA. RefSeq lists it as uncharacterized. The transcript has 4 exons. Lineage: Eukaryota; Metazoa; Arthropoda; Arachnida; Ixodida; Argasidae. The record is from RefSeq and is a predicted model, not a curated record.
GGAGUAGAAGAACCUCGGAAAUUUGGCCUUAGAAAACCCCAAGGGGUGGAGUUGCAGGGGUAGAAGAACCUCAGAAUUUUGGCCUUAGAAAACCCCAAGGGGUGGAGUUGCAUGGGUAGAAGAACCUCGGAAAUUUGGCCUUAGAAAACCCCAAGGGGUGGAGUUGCAGGGGUAGAAGAACCUCAGAAUUUUGGCCUUAGAAAACCCCAAGGGGUUAG